RNAcentral lists this non-coding RNA (131 nucleotides) under uncultured Nitzschia. The record is from RNAcentral. Lineage: Eukaryota; Bacillariophyta; Bacillariophyceae; Bacillariales; Bacillariaceae.
CAACUGCUGUUGUUACGAUAGAUCUUGAGGCUGGCCUGACUGGUGAGACAUCAGAACAGAGCAGAAAGAACAGAACAGAACAGAACUUGUCUCUUGCCGUCGUCUUGUCUCUUGCUCUCGUGCUCUCUCGU